This 417-nucleotide transfer RNA is filed under the name Wilmottia murrayi KOVACIK-ANT 2004/75. RNAcentral describes it as "partial 16S-23S ribosomal RNA intergenic spacer". The stretch from base 124 to 197 matches the Rfam family "tRNA". Lineage: Bacteria; Bacillati; Cyanobacteriota; Cyanophyceae; Coleofasciculales; Wilmottiaceae. The record is from RNAcentral.
UUUUAGGGAGACCUGUUUCAUGAUUGGUACAAGGAUGAAAAUCCUAGUCCGAAAGUGAAAGCAUCCCAAGGUCGUGCGAGGCAGUAGAAUUAAACUUUUAAACUAUUAACCGGUUCGGUGCAUGGGCUAUUAGCUCAGGUGGUUAGAGCGCACCCCUGAUAAGGGUGAGGUCCCUGGUUCGAGUCCAGGAUGGCCCAUCCUCUGCACCGAGAGUGAAAAGUCAAUUAGGAACUAAACCUUCAGCACCUUAUCCUGGUAACAAUCAAAACCUGAUUGAUAGCAAGAGAGAAUGCUGGGCGUCAAGUCCAGUCAUGUACCUUGAAAACUGCAUAGCAAAAAGAAGAGAAACUUGAGUAAAUUUCUAGUAGCAAGUACUUAUUUAUUAAGUACAGGCAGUUAGAGAAGCAAUCAAGCAAC